Molecule: long non-coding RNA, 2138 nt
Organism: Sciurus carolinensis (gray squirrel)
Lineage: Eukaryota; Metazoa; Chordata; Mammalia; Rodentia; Sciuridae
Exons: 2
Source: RefSeq, a predicted model, not a curated record
UGUGCUGGCGCCGGGCGUCGUCCAGGUGCGUGGACAGCACGUCCCCCAUGGCGAGGAGGAGCCGAGGCCCGAUCCGGUGCCGCCAGCCGCUGCCCGCGCUGCUCAGACCGACGCCGCUGGCGCCAUGGAGCCCGGCCCGGCCCGCCCCGCCCCGCUCCCGCGCUCCGCUGAGCCGCCGCCCCGGCCACGGCCUCGGCUCGGGCUCCAGGCGCGUCCCGCCCGCCCGCCGCGGCCGCCAGCCCCGCCCCGCGCCCGCGCCCGGCCCCGCCCCCGUCCCGCCCCCGCCGCGGCAGGCGGGGCGCCAAGCUGGGGACGCCGGGACCGCGGGAGACCCAGACAAAGAGAAGGUCCCUGCAAGGGCCAUCCCGGCGAGACCAGCAGAGCGCGCCCCGCACCCGGACCGAAGCGAAGAAAGGGGCUGGUGGGGGAUCUGAAAGAACCGGGGCUCGGGGCUCCAGCCUGGUCUCUCCCCUCCGCUCCCGUCCCCUCUCCUCCCGGUGCCACUGGAUGGGGACGCCUGGGCCGACGUGCGGGAUUGGCUUUUGCGCAGCACUCGGCAGGCAGGCUGCACCGUGCCGCCGGCCCCGUCCCUCCGGAAGCCACUCGCUCUCAGAGUUCCCUGGCCUUGAACCGACCGACCCCAGAAGUUUCAGGACCGCCCAAGGGCACGGAGGAGUGGACUGGGUGAUAGAGGCCUUCCUUGGCUGCUGAUGCUCAGGUCUGCCCUGUGUCCUUGUCAAGGGCCAUCAAGUUGCUACUUGCUUGUCCUCGGUGACUGAGCACUCACCCCUUCAUGCAUUUCCACUCUGUUGCUGGACAGCUCUUACCGUCAUUUUGGCAUAAGGCGGCAAAUGAUAACAGUUAACACUACUUCAGGUCCUCCAGGCUGGGACCCGUUCAUGCCUCCAGUCACCAGUCAUUCAGCAGCUAGAGGAUAAACAUCCAUGUGCCAGCCCCUCUGCAAGAUGCUGGGAAUGAAAAGGUGAGAAAACCCAAGCUGCCCUACCCUCUGGGACCCUGAACAAGUGGCAUUGCCUCUUUGAACCUCAGUUUCCUCAUCUGUCAACUAAGAAGGAGGCGGCAAGGUUGGGAAAAUUAAGUGAGAUAACAGUGCCUAGCGUUAUCUCAUUUAACACGUGUUAUCUGGGCACAGUGCCUGGCAUAUGGUUGGUCAUCUUUCAAUAAACAGAACUGUCAUUCUAUUAUUCCUCACAGUCCUUGUCCUCAAGAACGUAGAGAAACUUGAAGGAGCAGAACAUUCUGUUUUGAGGACGGUCAUGGAGGGUAGUACGAGAGCCAAAAGUUGGAAAACAAGAAUUGUGGCAGCAGAUACUGAGAAACAGCAUUCCAGGGAGAAGGGAAGCAUGAUUGGCCUCUGACAAGCAGUGGAGAAUCAUCAGGUGGAACUGAAGUCAGCUGCCAGGGAUUACUAGUUUUCCCCUACAGAGGUGGCCCAGAGAAAACAAUUGACUUGCCAAGAGCACACAGUAAGGCCUGGGCAAAACCUGGCCAGUGGCCAGGUCUCCCGACGCCCAGUGUCAUGUUCUCUGAAGGACCAAAAGCAAGCCACGUUCGGGAACCUCAUUUCAUCUUUCCCGUGGCCCCAACUACAGAGUCUAGGAAAGGCCUUCUCUGCCCAGGGAGGAGACAGGUGGGGCCGGCUGGCACCUGGACACCCCAGGGCAUCUGCUCAGCCAGGCCUCCAGUUGGGGAAGAGGCAGACCUGCAAGCAGCCCCUGACCUGGAGCACCCACAAGCUUCCUGGCAUGCCAGGCUCCAGGCCCAGGGGCCUUCUCUCUUGACUUAAGAUACCUAUCACAUGUCACCUAACAUCUCUAAGCAACCAUGGUGGCAAACGUGGAAAGGCAUUGUAAACUGUGCAGUGCUGUGCAUACCUCUGAGUGGCUACCACCAAACCCUGGAGCCAGGCCUGACAAUUCGAGAUUCAUUUCAUGUGGGGGAAAGAAAAAGAAUAUGUAUGUGUAUAUACAUAUAUAUUUUUUUUCUUUUUCUUUUUUUUGGUGGUGGUGGUGGGGCUCAAGGUAAUACCUAGAAAAAGAUCUGGAGCGAACUCUUGGUCCAGUUUGCUAGGAGAGGUGGAGUGCAUAUUUGUCAAAACUUACCAAACUGUACCUUCA